Molecule: ribosomal RNA, 439 nt
Filed under: uncultured bacterium
Lineage: Bacteria
Description: bacterial SSU rRNA
Rfam family: Bacterial small subunit ribosomal RNA
Source: RNAcentral
CCUANGGGGGCUGCAGUAACGAAUAUUCCGCAAUGGGCGCAAGCCUGACGGAGCAAUGCCGCGUGCGGGAUGAAGCGGCUUCGCCGUGUAAACCGCUGUCAGGGGUCAGAAACACUGAUCGACCCCAGAGGAAGAGACGGCUAACCCUGUGCCAGCAGCCGCGGUAAUACAGGGGUCUCAAGCGUUAAUCGGAAUCACUGGGCUUAAAGGGUGCGUAGGCGGCCGUGCAAGUGUCCCGUGAAAUCCCACGGCUCAACCGUGGAAUUGCGGGGCAAACUGCGCGGCUCGAGGAAGGUAGAGGCCGGUGGAACGAUAGGUGGAGCGGUGGAAUGCGUAGAGAUCUAUCGGAACGCCAAAGGUGAAGACAGCCGGCUGGGCCUUUCCUGACGCUGAGGCACGAAAGCGUGGGGAGCAAACCGGAUUAGAUACCCUGNUANUC